Molecule: transfer RNA, 73 nt
Filed under: Xenopus tropicalis (tropical clawed frog)
Lineage: Eukaryota; Metazoa; Chordata; Amphibia; Anura; Pipidae
Description: tRNA-Val (TAC) (tRNA-Val-TAC-20-1)
Rfam family: tRNA
About the family: Transfer RNA (tRNA) molecules are approximately 80 nucleotides in length. Their secondary structure includes four short double-helical elements and three loops (D, anti-codon, and T loops).
Source: Rfam by way of RNAcentral
GGUUUCAUAGUGUAUUGGUCAACAUGUCUUCUUUACAUGCAGAAGGUCCUGGGUUCAAUCCCCAGUGAAACCA